Meleagris gallopavo (turkey) is the source of this 1753-nucleotide non-coding RNA. NCBI's taxonomy places the organism in Eukaryota, Metazoa, Chordata, Aves, Galliformes, Phasianidae. The record is from RefSeq and is a predicted model, not a curated record.
UUCCAGGCUCUGCCCAUGUUAUACUAUGUAGAAAAACCAAUUGUUUUUAGCAGAACAGGAAAAUAAGACUGAGAUAACACAUAAUAUUAAUAAAUAUUGGAUGCAGCAACACAGAUCCUUUGAUCCUGAAGAGAUUUCAGACAUUAUCACUUGUACAUUUAUGAGGUAAGAUGGGAGAUGGAGAAAUCAUAGACUGCAAAACAUUGGUACAGAACAAAUACAGUGUGUUCAGCUUACGUUAUAACAGCCUAAUCAUUCUCAUCCUGAUUCAUAUGCUUUCUUAAUUUGCAGUAUGUAUUGAAAGUGACAGCCAGCCACCAAAAGGAAAUAAUUUUCGUAUAGCACAGGUGUGUCAACCUCUAUAGGAACUUGAAUCUAUACUGACUUUUUCACUACUUACUACAUUCUUCAUUAUAUUUAGCUUCAUUAUGAUCAUUCUAAUCACAAUAAAAACAAUUAAUAGUUGACUUUAUAGUAUAUGUGCAAAAUACUCAGGAGAAAGCAGUGCAACAUAACAAACACACAACAUAGAAACAUAGUAUUUACAAUUCAUAAUCAGAGGGAAACAAUGCAUAAUUUAGUAUUUAUACUUUAUUAUUAGAAGGAUGAGAUCACUAGAUUUUUUUCCACAUCACAGACUCCUUACUUCGGGAAAAUAGAUGCUAUAUAUGAUCUCAAUUAAAUGCAAAUUUUUAAGCAACACUGAAGCCAACCUUUUCCCAUUCCCAAAGGAAGAGCUUAACUUUGUUUACUUGCUCUUUAAUUGUCAGCAAACAUUGAAAAACAGCUUCUUUGUCAAUAGAUUUCUUUUCAAAAAGUCAUCUUCAAAACAUAUUACGUAUAACUAUUUCUCACUGUAUCCUUCUAAUGAAACUGCCCCACAUUUAGCUAGAUUAAACUAUAAUGCAACAGGAGAACAAUCGGCUGACAGGUCAGGCUCGAAGUGUUAGAGUAAGUGAGAUUACAUCAGAUGGUAGCCAGUCACUGGCGAGGUUCUGCACAUCUCCUUUUUAGGGACAGUUCUCUUUAACGUUGUAUAAUCAAUGAAUAUGCAGAUGUCAUAAUUAAGAAAUAUACAGGAAAGUUAGGCUAAGUAAGAUAAAUUGCAACAGGAAGAUAAUAAAUGGAAAUACUUACCAAUGUUGCAGGCUCACAAUAUGCUCCACAAGGUCCAAUCUCAGGAAGAGAUCCUUCCUCAAUGGCGGUCAGCACUUAAAUGGUAUGUAGGAGAGGUGCAGCCAGACUCCACCCCUUCCGGUAGCACAGCUGAAUUGUCUUCACCUGUAUUCCCAUGGCUGACGCAUUGCUUGCCUCAGGUUGUCAAUCAGAGGCUCAGGCCGUGAUUCAGCAGUUCCCAUACAAACGUUUUCAUAAAUAGCUUGGAAGUUACACUAAGUGUCACAUUCUGUAAGUUUGCAGACAACACAAAAUUCGGAGGAGCAUCCCACUCUACCUUACCUUGAUAACUGUGAGCAGGUUUGGUCACCACAGUGUAAGAAGGACAAAUCUAUGAGAGAUUAUCCAAAACGCAGGAGAGUUUACCAGAGAACAAGCGAUGACACAGUAGAUACUGGGCAUCAAGUUUCAUCUAUAAUUCCACUCUAUCAGAUUUUUAAGCUAUGCUUAUCUACACUGGCUUCUGCAAACAUUUUGGUUUAUGUGCUACUAGAAAGAAAUACUUCAAAGGGAAGGAAGAUGACACAAGAUUACUCACAGGAAGAUUGCAGAAAGCAAAUAUAUGUUAUUAUAAUCA